GUUUUGUCUGGAUUGGAAAAGAUAAAGGGUAAUGGAAAAUUUGCAGUUGCAAGCAAGGAGAAGGAGGUGAGUGAGGAAGAGGAGGAUAGUGACACUUCAGAUUCUGAGGUGGAUUCAGAGAUUGAGAGGAUUAUUGCUGAAAGGCAUGGUAAGAAGGGCAGUAGUAAGAAGAGGUCAUCUAAGGAAGAGAAUUCUGAUGAAGGGUCAGAUUCUGAUUC
RNAcentral lists this unclassified non-coding RNA (218 nucleotides) under Hevea brasiliensis (rubber tree). The record is from RNAcentral. Lineage: Eukaryota; Viridiplantae; Streptophyta; Magnoliopsida; Malpighiales; Euphorbiaceae.